Long non-coding RNA from Carassius auratus (goldfish), 452 nucleotides. RefSeq lists it as uncharacterized. Lineage: Eukaryota; Metazoa; Chordata; Actinopteri; Cypriniformes; Cyprinidae. The transcript is spliced from 4 exons. The record is from RefSeq and is a predicted model, not a curated record.
CCAGACUCAACAUCUGGACUCAACUCAACUCUGUCACACAUGUUCAGAACUCAACCAGAAAUCAGAUACUGGACUGCUUGCUGCAGUGCUACCACUUGUUAUAGUGGUGGUCGUGAUUGCACUAGGUGUGAUCUAUAUCAUAAUGAAAAAGAAACGAGGUUCAUAUAUAAAUCCCAAUGCACCAUAAUCUGAUGGAGUGAAAAACAUUAUGCACAAAUGAUGAUCUGACAAUCUAACAGACUGCAGUGGCUAUGACAGAUCUCUGACACAUAUGAUGCUGUGUCUCAGUACUCUAAGAUCAUGAACAAAUAAAUUUUAUAAACAAAACUUUGUACAACAUUAUCAUGAUUUUUAAUGCCAUUUUUAUAAAAACUGUAACUGCAUUGAAUUAAUUUGCAUUAUGUAUAUGCAGCAUUGAUUUAAAAAAAGGUACCAGAGUAAUUGUUGUAUAU